This is a long non-coding RNA of Candoia aspera, 537 nucleotides long. RefSeq lists it as uncharacterized. The record is from RefSeq and is a predicted model, not a curated record. The transcript has 2 exons. Lineage: Eukaryota; Metazoa; Chordata; Lepidosauria; Squamata; Candoiidae.
GGCCAGCCGGCAAGGAACCAGCCGCUACUGGGGAGAAGCAACGCCCAUGCAAUUAUCCUGCUAGCACACUUAUAGGUAUGCAACAUCGUCUGACUGACUUUGGCUGAUCUCCAAAAUCUAAACAAAAUUGGAUCUGGCUAAUAUUUGAUAGGAGACCACCAGGAAAUACACAGACAUUCCAGAAGAAAACAAUGACAAGCCACUUGGGUACCACUGCCCAAAAGGCCUCCAUGUCUGUGUUCACAAAAUCACCAAGAACCAAGUUUGACUCAGAUACAACUUUGCUAUUACAUAUUUUCUUUGAAAAUACUGGUUGGUGAAAACAGAUUUUGGCUGCAAUCCUGAACAGAGUUUCUACAAGAUCACCCUUGUUAAAUAGAACAGGCCUAUUUCUGAGAAAAUAAGCAUGAGGUUGGGUGUCUGCGUAUUAAUUCAUAACCCAGAGGACAUUUGAUACUGAUAGUCACAUAUUUUUUUCGUAAUAUUUGAAGUUAUGCAAUAAAAAGAUAAUGUUUAUUGAAGGUUUACUUUUUCCAA